Long non-coding RNA from Saccostrea cuccullata (small rock oyster), 631 nucleotides. RefSeq lists it as uncharacterized. The transcript is spliced from 4 exons. NCBI's taxonomy places the organism in Eukaryota, Metazoa, Mollusca, Bivalvia, Ostreida, Ostreidae. The record is from RefSeq and is a predicted model, not a curated record.
GUGGCAGUUUUCCUACCCGUGGAUUUGGUCUCAACCUCCUCGUAUAACUUGUACCGCUGGGAAACAAACAGGCAUUUUGUGCAGUGGAGGCCCAUUCUACUUGCAAGACCACGCCUAUCCUCAGAUGCCAAGUCCCACGUGAGGGGUCCAUCACAGCCGGGUAUCUGUAGCUGGUGCAGUGAGACAACUUCAUUCCACAUCUCGGCUGUUUUCCCCAAGUGUAGAAGUCUGUGGGAAUUUUGGUUAGCCAGCCUAGCACUGUGGUGGGGUUUCAUCUCUCAGCUUCCUUGGCCGAAGAAGACAGUGGCACCUUCCCCGCACAAGCAUUUCCUCUUUUUCCGCAGCUGACGGAGUGUCCGAAACCAUCUUAUUCAUCUCCUCGGACAGUCUGCUGUAUGGUGCGGUCACAAAUAUAUCCAAAUACGAUCACCGGUCAGAAAGACAUUCACUCUUUUGAACUGUGGUGGAAGCAGUGAGGUGUCACCUAUUGAGAUGGACACAGUAUCCAAUACACUGAAGUCACAGGACUCAAAUUUCAUACAUGUUCACAGAGAGAGCUGGCUGUCGCCAUUGCUAGAGCUGCAUAUCAAGGAGAGGAUUAUUUGAUUGAAUUGACAACUCAGAUCUGCAU